This 440-nucleotide ribosomal RNA is filed under the name uncultured bacterium. Its description in RNAcentral is "partial 16S ribosomal RNA". It matches the Rfam family "Bacterial small subunit ribosomal RNA", at positions 338 to 795 of the family's 1533-position model. The record is from RNAcentral.
CCUACGGGAGGCAGCAGUAGGGAAUAUUGCUCAAUGGGGGAAACCCUGACGCAGCAACGCCGCGUGGAGGAUGAAGGUUUUCGGAUUGUAAACUCCUUUUGUUAGAGAAGAUAAUGACGGUAUCUAACGAAUAAGCACCGGCUAACUCCGUGCCAGCAGCCGCGGUAAUACGGAGGGUGCAAGCGUUACUCGGAGUGACUAGGCGUAAAGAGCGCGUAGGCGGGAUUGCAAGUCAGAUGUGAAAUCCUAUGGCUUAACCAUAGAACUGCAUUUGAAACUGUUGUUCUAGAGUAUGGGAGAGGCAGGUGGAAUUCUUGGUGUAGCGGUAAAAUGCGUAGAGAUCAGGAGGAAUACUCGUGGCGAAGGCGGCCUGCUGGAACGCAACUGACGCUGAGGCGCGAAAGCGUGGGGAGCAAACAGGAUUAGAUACCCGGGUAGUC